RNAcentral lists this ribosomal RNA (536 nucleotides) under uncultured bacterium. RNAcentral's name for it is "bacterial SSU rRNA". It matches the Rfam family "Bacterial small subunit ribosomal RNA", at positions 974 to 1509 of the family's 1533-position model. The record is from RNAcentral.
CCUGGCCUUGACAUACUAAGAACUUUCCAGAGAUGGAUUGGUGCCUUCGGGAACUUAGAUACAGGUGCUGCAUGGCUGUCGUCAGCUCGUGUCGUGAGAUGUUGGGUUAACGUCCGCAACGAGCGCAACCCUUUUCCUUAUUUGCCAGCGGGUCAUGCCGGGAACUUUAAGGAUACUGCCAGUGACAAACUGGAGGAAGGCGGGGACGACGUCAAGUCAUCAUGGCCCUUACGGCCAGGGCUACACACGUGCUACAAUGGUCGGUACAAAGGGUUGCUACCUCGCGAGAGGAUGCUAAUCUCAAAAAGCCGAUCGUAGUCCGGAUCGCAGUCCGCAACUCGACUGCGUGAAGUCGGAAUCGCUAGUAAUCGCGGAUCAGAAUGCCGCGGUGAAUACGUUCCCGGGCCUUGUACACACCGCCCGUCACACCAUGGGAGUUUGUUGCACCAGAAGUAGGUAGUCUAACCGCAAGGAGGACGCUUACCACGGUGUGGCCGAUGACUGGGGUGAAGUCGUAACAAGGUAGGCGUAGAUGA